Non-coding RNA from Drosophila virilis, 1353 nucleotides. The record is from RefSeq and is a predicted model, not a curated record. NCBI's taxonomy places the organism in Eukaryota, Metazoa, Arthropoda, Insecta, Diptera, Drosophilidae.
UAUCUAGUUUAAAAGAAGCAACCCUACUGGACACCUCGCGUGCUUCUCCUCUAACGUCGCUUACAAGGAGGACCCAAGCUUCACAGCUCUGCUUAAUAAAGUCUCUCAGUUCAACAAGUAUGUUCAUAAGAACAGACGGACAUUUUAAGAUAAAGUCGUCAACUGAUUGCAAGCCAAGAAUAUAUAUACUUCAUGCUCUCGAAGCUACCUUCUUGUGCCAGCUACAAAGCCACAAAACCAAUAUAACCCUGUCCGGGCAUAAAAACCAUGCGGAAUUCUCAAUGAUGAACGGCAGCAAAAAAAAAAAUUGAAAGAAAAACAACGCGACGUCAACAGUUAAAUAGCUUAAACGGGCAGCAAUUAUUGGAUUGGCAGGUCAUCUGGCUGAAAUGGGCUGAAACGCGGCCGGUUUGCUGACAAUGGCUUACAACUCAUUACAUACUCGAGCUGGCCGCUUAUUUUCCAACGUUUUUAAUGAGGCAGACGACUAUUUUUCACUUGACGUCCUCCUGCGGCGCAAUUUGCAUGUGCAAACAUAUUUGUAUACAGUCGUUGUCGUCGUCGUCGUCGUCGGUUGGGCUCACAAACAAACGCAGGCAUAAAUAAUCGAACAAAGUAUGGCAAGCUAUAAAUAUUUAAGCCCGGUAGGGUGUUCCUUGUGUUCCUUGGCGCUGCCAAGAUGCACAGCAUACGCUGCCGAGACGCUCGGUUCACACAAAUUUCAUGCAGCCAACAAUGAAGCGCAAUAAUAUAGGCAACAGCAGCAAUGUUGCAGCCACAACAGAAACUGCAACAACAGCAACAACAACUACAACUACAAAAAGAGCAACAACUGCAACAAUAAACAAGCAGCGCAAUUUCACUGACUACUGAGAACUUUACGUACUGUGACGAGGCGAAUACUGCCCAGCUCAGGCUCAGGCACAGCUCUCGGGCAAACUUCAACUGCAACUGCACUGCACAAAACUCCGAAAUAAAAAUUAAAACAAGAAAGGAAAAUUUUUUAAAGAAUGACGAAUAUCAAACGCCCUAACACACACACACACACACACACACACACACAAUGGAAGCUGUAUCAUAUGCGGCUUAAACUUGGAAUUCGAAAAUGAAAAAAUGGAAGAACAAUUGUCAAAAGAAUAGCGCAUAUCAAAUGCCCUAACAUUAUGCGGAAGAAAACUCAAUGCACAAGCGAUUUUAACAAUGGAUAAUAUAUUUAAGGCGGCUAGGAAUUCCAAAAACUAAGAAAUUAAAUGAAAAUUCUCUAAAGAGUGCCGAAUAUCAAAUACCCUCCAAUAUUAAAGAAAAAACUCUAUUUACAAGCGACUAGAGCAAUGGAUAACAAUGGAUGUGGAU